GUUGUGGCUCAGAGGUAGAGAGCUUGCCUACCAUGCGUGAGGCACUGGGUUCAAUCCUCAGCACA
Molecule: transfer RNA, 65 nt
Filed under: Marmota monax (woodchuck)
Lineage: Eukaryota; Metazoa; Chordata; Mammalia; Rodentia; Sciuridae
Description: tRNA.Gly
Source: RNAcentral